GACGAACGCUGGCGGCGUGCUUAACACAUGCAAGUCGAACGGAAAGGCCUAGCUUGCUGGGUACUCGAGUGGCGAACGGGUGAGUAACACGUGGGUGAUCUGCCCCUGACUUUGGGAUAAGCCUGGGAAACUGGGUCUAAUACCGGAUAUUCAUUUUUCCUCGCAUGGGGAUUUGUGGAAAGCUUUUGCGGUUGGGGAUGGGCCCGCGGCCUAUCAGCUUGUUGGUGGGGUAAUGGCCUACCAAGGCGACGACGGGUAGCCGACCUGAGAGGGUGAUCGGCCACACUGGGACUGAGACACGGCCCAGACUCCUACGGGAGGCAGCAGUGGGGAAUAUUGCACAAUGGGCGCAAGCCUGAUGCAGCGACGCCGCGUGAGGGAUGACGGCCUUCGGGUUGUAAACCUCUUUCAGCGCCGACGAAGCGCAAGUGACGGUAGGAGCAGAAGAAGCACCGGCCAACUACGUG
This 467-nucleotide ribosomal RNA is filed under the name uncultured bacterium. Its description in RNAcentral is "partial 16S ribosomal RNA". It matches the Rfam family "Bacterial small subunit ribosomal RNA", at positions 28 to 507 of the family's 1533-position model. The record is from RNAcentral.